Molecule: ribosomal RNA, 496 nt
Filed under: uncultured bacterium
Lineage: Bacteria
Description: partial 16S ribosomal RNA
Rfam family: Bacterial small subunit ribosomal RNA
Source: RNAcentral
GAUGAACGCUGGCGGCGUGCUUAAUACAUGCAAGUCGAGCGAACGGACGAGAAGCUUGCUUCUCUGAUGUUAGCGGCGGAUGGGUGAGUAACACGUGGAUAACCUCCCUAUAAGACUGGGAUAACUUCGGGACACCGUAGCUAAUACCGGAUAAUCUUUUGAACCGCAUGGUUCAAAAGUGAAAGACGGUCUUGGUGUCACUUAUCGAUGGAUCUGCUGUGCAUUAGCUGGUUGGUAAGGUAACGGCUUACCAAGGCAACGAUGCAUAGCCGACCCGAGAGGGGGAUCGGCCACAGUGAAGCUGAGACGCGACCCAGGCACCGACGGGAGGCAGCAGUAGGUAAUCGUGCGCAAGGUGCGAAAGACUGACGAAGGAACGCCGGGUGAGUGAAGAAGGGCUGCGGAUCGGAAAACGCUGUUAUUAGUGAAGAACAUAUGUGUAAGUAACGGUGCACAUCUUGACGGUACCGAAGCAGAAGGCCACGGCUAACUACGG